GCAUUUGUCGGGAACAAACGUUGAAUUAAUGGAGCAUUGUGUGCCUUUGCUGACAUUGGACGUUUCCUGGACUUCUUGUUUUAUUUCUUGCUUCCUGGAUUAAUUGCCUUGUUCCUUUGCUUCCUGGACUAAUUGAUUUAUUCCCUUGCCCUACUGCAUUUCUUGUUUUGCAGCCGUUGUGCUCACAGCUUUGUGCUGGAGGGGUGUGUGUGACUUCCCAGAAACA
Molecule: non-coding RNA, 226 nt
Organism: Pseudonaja textilis
Lineage: Eukaryota; Metazoa; Chordata; Lepidosauria; Squamata; Elapidae
Source: RefSeq, a predicted model, not a curated record